Molecule: ribosomal RNA, 2115 nt
Filed under: Ligilactobacillus salivarius
Lineage: Bacteria; Bacillati; Bacillota; Bacilli; Lactobacillales; Lactobacillaceae
Description: partial 23S ribosomal RNA
Rfam family: Bacterial large subunit ribosomal RNA
Source: RNAcentral
UUAGGUUAAGUUAUUAAGGGCGUAUGGUGGAUGCCUUGGCACUAGGAGCCGAUGAAGGACGUGACUAACUGCGAUAUGCUUCGGGGAGUUGUAAGUAAACUAUGAUCCGGAGAUUUCCGAAUGGGGAAACCUAACAGGUUUUACCGCCUGUUAUCACUAAGUGAAUUCAUAGCUUAGUUGAAGGUAGACGUGGGGAACUGAAACAUCUAAGUACCCACAGGAAGAGAAAGAAAUUCGAUUCCCUCAGUAGCGGCGAGCGAACCGGGAAGAGCCCAAACUAAGAAGCUUGCUUCUUAGGGUUGUAGGACUGAACAUCUGAGUUACCAAGAAAUGAAGUAGUUGAAUAAUCUGGGAAGAUUAGCCAAAGAGAGUGAUAGCCUCGUAAGCGAAACUUCGUUUCCUCAGUUCAGGAUCCUGAGUACGGCGGAACACGUGAAACUCCGUCGGAAUCCGGGAGGACCAUCUCCCAAGGCUAAAUACUACCUAGUGACCGAUAGUGAACCAGUACCGUGAGGGAAAGGUGAAAAGCACCCCGGGAGGGGAGUGAAAUAGUUCCUGAAACCAUAUGCCUACAAGUAGUCAGAGCUCGUUAAUGAGUGAUGGCGUGCCUUUUGUAGAAUGAACCGGCGAGUUACGUUAGCGUGCGAGGUUAAGGAGGAAAGUCCGGAGCCGUAGCGAAAGCGAGUCUGAAUAGGGCGAGAUAGUACGUUGACGUAGACCCGAAACCAGGUGACCUACCCAUGUCCAGGUUGAAGGUGCGGUAAAACGCACUGGAGGACCGAACCCGUGUAUGUUGAAAAAUGCUGGGAUGAGGUGUGGGUAGAGGUGAAAUUCCAAACGAACUUGGAGAUAGCUGGUUCUCUCCGAAAUAGCUUUAGGGCUAGCCUCGGAGUUAAGAAUCGUGGAGGUAGAGCACUGUUUGGACUAGGGGCCCGUCUUGGGUUACUGAAUUCAGAUAAACUCCGAAUGCCACAGAUUUAUAUCCGGGAGUCAGACUGCGAGUGAUAAGAUCCGUAGUCGAAAGGGAAACAGCCCAGACCACCGAUUAAGGUCCCAAAAUAUGUGUUAAGUGGAAAAGGAUGUGGAAUUGCAUAGACAACUAGGAUGUUGGCUUAGAAGCAGCCACCAUUUAAAGAGUGCGUAAUAGCUCACUAGUCGAGUGAUCCUGCGCCGAAAAUGUAACGGGGCUAAACACAUUACCGAAAUCGUGGAUGUACCGUAAGGUACAUGGUAGGAGAGCGUUCUAAGGACGGCGAAGCUAGACCGUAAGGACUGGUGGAGUGCUUAGAAGUGAGAAUGCCGGUAUGAGUAGCGAAAGAUCAGUGAGAAUCUGGUCCACCGUAUGACUAAGGUUUCCUGGGGAAGGCUCGUCCUCCCAGGGUUAGUCGGGACCUAAGCCGAGGCCGAGAGGCGUAGGCGAUGGAUAACAGGUUGAGAUUCCUGUACUGGUUAAACUUGUUUGAACAAUGGAGGGACGCAGGAGGCUAUCGAUGCGUACUGUUGGAUAUGUACGUUCAAGCAACAAGUCUGUAGGUGAGUCAAAUGCUUAUCUACUUAAGGACAAGUUGUGAUGAGGAGCGAAAUUUAGUAGCGAAGUGAGAGACGUCACACUGCCAAGAAAAGCUUCUAGUUAGAGUUUAAUCACCCGUACCGCAAACCGACACAGGUAGUCGAGGCGAGUAGCCUAAGGUGAGCGAGAGAACUCUCGUUAAGGAACUCGGCAAAAUGACCCCGUAACUUCGGGAGAAGGGGUGCUGAGCGCAAGCUCAGCCGCAGUGAAUAGGCCCAGGCGACUGUUUAUCAAAAACACAGGUUUCUGCAAAAUCGUAAGAUGAAGUAUAGGGGCUGACGCCUGCCCGGUGCUGGAAGGUUAAGAGGAUGGGUUAGCGUAAGCGAAGCUCAGAAUUGAAGCCCCAGUAAACGGCGGCCGUAACUAUAACGGUCCUAAGGUAGCGAAAUUCCUUGUCGGGUAAGUUCCGACCCGCACGAAAGGCGUAACGAUCUGGGCACUGUCUCAACGAGAGACUCGGUGAAAUUAUAAUACCCGUGAAGAUGCGGGUUACCCGCGACAGGACGGAAAGACCCCAUGGAGCUUUACUGUAGCUUGAUAUUGGG